Molecule: long non-coding RNA, 775 nt
Organism: Photinus pyralis (common eastern firefly)
Lineage: Eukaryota; Metazoa; Arthropoda; Insecta; Coleoptera; Lampyridae
Exons: 3
Source: RefSeq, a predicted model, not a curated record
UUCCUGGAGAGCUAUACAAACUGGGUCAUGCUUUUGGAUGAUCAGCUUUAGUUCAUUCAAAUUAUGAGCUAGUCCUCGACAAUUCCACUGGAUAAUAUUUGUUUUAUCCAUUGUAAUUUCAAGAUAGGGACAAUCACAGUUGAACAAAUAACAUAUAACAGUUACGUAUCACAGAGAUUAUCACAGAUCAGUUGGUGCAAGCCCCUUUCGAACUGUCCGCCGAUGAACGGGGCAGUCUCGGCUUGCCUUUGGGCCAUCCCUUCUUUUUCUUUCCCUGCUUAGCUUCUGCCACCGUCUCCUCAUCUAGAGAUGUAAUACUCGACUCUCUGGACCGAACUCGAGGCAGCGAUGUUUUCCGCUUUGCUCCUCGUGUUUCGGUCUCCAUAUCUGCUUCGGAAGUACAAGUUGAUUCAAUCACCAUAUUGGAAUUUCUCGUCACCGGCUUAGUUGCAGGCUUUCCGAAGACAGCUCGAGGAUAUUGUUCAAUUUUAGCGGGCCAAUAUUUUUAACAGGUUCGGGAGCCGUAACCGGUCUGGACGCCACCUGUGCAUAGGAGGAAGUGGGAGCUGUUGGAGUGCCCACUUUCUUUUUAGCUUCUGGGUAAGACAGUCUCUGCACUACUUUGACUUCUUGGAUUUUCAUUUCUAAUUUGAAAACCGGACAUGUUUUAGUGACCGCCUUAUGCGGCCCUUUGCAAUUCGGGCAUUCAAUUGGUUCUUCACAAGCAGUGCCCUCAUGUGCAGGUUUCCCACAUACACACCUCCUUUCGUAUUUA